This 723-nucleotide small RNA is filed under the name Pongo abelii (Sumatran orangutan). RNAcentral describes it as "retained intron". Lineage: Eukaryota; Metazoa; Chordata; Mammalia; Primates; Hominidae. The record is from RNAcentral.
CGGAAAGCGGGAGGGACAAAUUGCCAAUGUUUGGAAUCUGGUUUCCAGGUUGCUGUUUUUGGGGGCUCUGGGUGUGGCGGUUGCCGUAGCUGAAAUCCGCUGCACCAUGUCGGCCUUCGAGAAGCCUCAGAUCAUCGCCCAUAUCCAGAAGGGCUUCAACUACACGGUGUUUGACUGUAAGUGGGUGCCCUGCAGCGCCAAAUUUGUGACCAUGGGCAACUUCGCACGGGGCACCGGCGUCAUUCAGCUGUACGAGAUCCAGCAUGGGGACCUGAAGCUGCUUCGGGAGGUGGGUGCCGGGUCGAGGAUCCGGACUGUCGUUGGGGCGAGUGCGGAUCCUGGGGUCUGCAUUCCUCUUUGCCAGAGCCUUCGUCCAGCGUCCCCCAAAGCAUGGCUUGAGCCGCGCGAGACCAGAGAAGCUGACCGCCGACUGAGGAAUGUUUCCUAUUUAAAACCUUUCUUCUCAUCCGCGGGGUAGUUCCUCCGCGCCCAACCGUCCUGCCACCCCCAGUGCAGUCCAGCCAAAGCGGGCACCAGGAUGCCUGCAGUGUGGUUGGAAGAGGCAACCUAACGCAUUCGACAGGUAUCAAUUGAGUGCCUGGUAUUCCCAGGCAUGUGAAUGAUUGAAAAGGCCAAACCUAUUAAAUGUGGAACAUUUGGUGCAACAUCUUUACAGCAGAGAUAUUUAGCUACUGGAGAUUUUGGUGGAAACCUUCAUAUAUG